RNAcentral lists this ribosomal RNA (429 nucleotides) under Actinomycetes bacterium. RNAcentral's name for it is "Actinobacteria bacterium partial 16S ribosomal RNA". It matches the Rfam family "Bacterial small subunit ribosomal RNA", at positions 355 to 776 of the family's 1533-position model. The record is from RNAcentral. Lineage: Bacteria; Bacillati; Actinomycetota; Actinomycetes.
UAGGGAAUCUUCCGCAAUGGGCGAAAGCCUGACGGAGCAACGCCGCGUGAGUGAUGAAGGUCUUCGGAUCGUAAAACUCUGUUAUUAGGGAAGAACAACUGUGUAAGUAACUAUGCACGUCUUGACGGUACCUAAUCAGAAAGCCACGGCUAACUACGUGCCAGCAGCCGCGGUAAUACGUAGGUGGCAAGCGUUAUCCGGAAUUAUUGGGCGUAAAGCGCGCGUAGGCGGUUUUUUAAGUCUGAUGUGAAAGCCCACGGCUCAACCGUGGAGGGUCAUUGGAAACUGGAAAACUUGAGUGCAGAAGAGGAAAGUGGAAUUCCAUGUGUAGCGGUGAAAUGCGCAGAGAUAUGGAGGAACACCAGUGGCGAAGGCGACUUUCUGGUCUGUAACUGACGCUGAUGUGCGAAAGCGUGGGGAUCAAACAGG